CCUACGGGUGGCAGCAGUGGGGAAUAUUGCACAAUGGGGGAAACCCUGAUGCAGCGACGCCGCGUGAGUGAAGAAGUAUUUCGGUAUGUAAAGCUCUAUCAGCAGGGAAGAAAAUGACGGUACCUGACCAAGAAGCCCCGGCUAACUACGUGCCAGCAGCCGCGGUAAUACGUAGGGGGCAAACGUUAUCCGGAUUUACUGGGUGUAAAGGGAGCGUAGACGGCAGCGCAAGUCUGGAGUGAAAUCCCAUGGCAUAACCACGGAACUGCUUUGGAAACUGUGUAGCUGGAGUGCAGGAGAGGUAAGCGGAAUUCCUAGUGUAGCGGUGAAAUGCGUAGAUAUUAGGAGGAACACCAGUGGCGAAGGCGGCUUACUGGACUGUAACUGACGUUGAGGCUCGAAAGCGUGGGGAGCAAACAGGAUUAGAUACCCCAGUAGUC
RNAcentral lists this ribosomal RNA (440 nucleotides) under uncultured bacterium. RNAcentral's name for it is "partial 16S ribosomal RNA". It matches the Rfam family "Bacterial small subunit ribosomal RNA", at positions 338 to 795 of the family's 1533-position model. The record is from RNAcentral.